RNAcentral lists this non-coding RNA (107 nucleotides) under Sodalis sp. (in: enterobacteria). RNAcentral describes it as "Sodalis sp. Magnesium sequence". It matches the Rfam family "M-box riboswitch aptamer (ykoK leader)", at positions 30 to 135 of the family's 169-position model. From Rfam's summary of the family: M-box riboswitch, also know as ykoK leader is described as a metaloregulatory RNA that sense divalent metals and function as a genetic control element of genes related to divalent metal transport in bacteria. It was first reported upstream of the B.subtilis ykoK gene and genes with related functions in other bacteria. Phylogenetic analysis of the distribution of M-box RNAs across bacterial genomes revealed that M-box riboswitches are most often employed for the regulation of Mg2+ transporter genes RNAcentral also lists the same sequence under 1 other name. Lineage: Bacteria; Pseudomonadati; Pseudomonadota; Gammaproteobacteria; Enterobacterales; Bruguierivoracaceae. The record is from RNAcentral.
CAAAUACAGGUUACUGAUCUGACGACGUCGAGAGACGCCCAAGGUUAGGACAGGCUUUAUCGGAUUAAGGUUUAGCCCAAAGUAACUUCUGUUAUACAGAUACGUUG